This 1551-nucleotide long non-coding RNA is filed under the name Homo sapiens (human). RNAcentral's name for it is "HSALNT0314538". Lineage: Eukaryota; Metazoa; Chordata; Mammalia; Primates; Hominidae. The record is from RNAcentral.
CUCGGUCCCCUCGGCUCCGGGGGCGCCCGGCUGGGCCCAGCUCCGCGGGCGCGCCCCCGUCACCCCCUCCCAGGCCAGUUCAGGGCAGCGCCAAGGGGCCGCGGGCUCAGGCUGAGGCCUCCUCCUGCCUAGGCGUCUGGCGUCCGUUUGUCUGUCCGAGGCCUCAGCGCAGGUAAAGCGCGGGGCUGGGGGGCGCAGAGCUCCAUUGGGCUGGGAACCAGCGCGUCUCGUGCCCUUGGGGGACCCGCCUGCCCGAGCCGCCUGCUAAGCCUCCCGCUCCCCUCCACGCUGGAGCGCGCGGAGCCCGGUCUGCUCGGAACUCCACUCUGCGGGAGCGGAGGCCGGCGCCAGCCCGGGAAGCCGCGCAGGGGGCGGGAGGCCGAGCGCGAGGCCCUUGGCGCCGGGCCUCCGCGGCCAGGCCGGGCAGGUGAGCAGUCUCCGUGCCUCCCGGUUGGCGUUCCCCUCAACGCGUGCGGUCCCGCCGGGGCCCACUGUCUCUCCGUCCGUCUGUCUCUCAACUUUUCCCAUCCUUUAGCUUACGAUUCUUCAUCAACUCGUAAAAUGAGAUCGCCGCGGAGCUCGAGCCUAUUUGGCGUCUCCGGAGACUAGCAAGACCCUCUGAAAGACACCGCGUCCCCAGGGAUAAUCCCCCGUGUCCGGCAAAGCUGCCCCGCUCGAGCGCGAACCCUGGGACCCAGCGCGGGAGGCAGACCAGCAGCUGGCCGCUGGGCUGUGAACGCCAGGACCGAGCGGAAGCUUCCCGCCCGGCCGCGAUCGGUGCCGCGGCUCUCAGGGAAGUGGCUACGCGCGUCCCUCGGGAAAGCAGAGUAAUUUGCCUGUUUCUGGCAAAUCUGAAGAUUGGAAUGCCACACGGCCCAGCCAUUCCUUUUCCAGGCAUAUGAGAAGCCCUCACACAUGAGCAAGAAAGAGAUGUGGCCAAAGACAUUCAUGGAGCCCUGUUUGUUAAAACAGAGAAAAAGAAAUUAAGAAAUACCCAGCCUGGGCAACAUAGGGAGACCCUGUCUCUACUAAAAAUAAAAAUUUAUACUUGGGAGGCUAAGGCAGGAGGAUCACUUGAGCUCAGAAGAUCGAAGCUUGCAAUCAGCUGUGAUCGUGUCACUGCAUGCCAGCCUGGGUGACAGAGAGUGAGACCCUGUAUCAAUAAAGAAAGAAAGAAAGAAAAGAAACAGAAAUAAACUUAGGACACAGCAGACGGCCCAUCCUGAGGGUACCACAUAGCAGAUGCUGGGACCUUUUUUCAGGUGGACGCCACAUGACCUUUCCUUUGCAGGCAUCCAUGCUGAUGUUCACAAGGCACACAGCAUUUCAGCUGAAGAAAGAACUGGCAGGAUUUUCAUCACGAAAGGGCACUGUCUAUCGUUUAUGAAAAUGAAGCAUAUGAAGUAAAAGUUUGGAAACAGAUGGAAUUAAAUCUUCUGACAGAUUUUAAAAUAAGAUCUAAAAAAGAGCAAGACAUGCUCUUGGAUGGGGAAACUUAAUAUCAGAAAAAUGUCAAUUUUCCCAUUUUUUCCAUAUAAAUUUAAUGUAAUU